GACGAACGCUGGCGGCGUGCUUAACGCAUGCAAGUCGAACGGAAAGGCCCUGCUUUUGUGGGGUGCUUGAGUGGCGAACGGGUGAGUAACACGUGAGUAACCUGCCCUUGACUUUGGGAUAACUUCAGGAAACUGGGGCUAAUACCGGAUAGGAGCUCCUGCUGCAUGGUGGGGGUUGGAAAGUUUCGGCGGUUGGGGAUGGACUCGCGGCUUAUCAGCUUGUUGGUGGGGUAGUGGCUUACCAAGGCUUUGACGGGUAGCCGGCCUGAGAGGGUGACCGGCCACAUUGGGACUGAGAUACGGCCCAGACUCCUACGGGAGGCAGCAGUGGGGAAUAUUGCACAAUGGGCGGAAGCCUGAUGCAGCAACGCCGCGUGCGGGAUGACGGCCUUCGGGUUGUAAACCGCUUUCGCCUGUGACGAAGCGUGAGUGACGGUAAUGGGUAAAGAAGCACCGGCUAACUACGUG
This 468-nucleotide ribosomal RNA is filed under the name uncultured bacterium. RNAcentral describes it as "partial 16S ribosomal RNA". It matches the Rfam family "Bacterial small subunit ribosomal RNA", at positions 28 to 507 of the family's 1533-position model. The record is from RNAcentral.